GACGAACGCUGGCGGCGUGCUUAACACAUGCAAGUCGAACGAUGAAGCGGGUGCUUGCACUCGUGGAUUAGUGGCGAACGGGCGAGUAACACGUGAGUAACCUGUCCUUUUCUUUGGGAUAACGGCUGGAAACGGCUGCUAAUACUGGAUAUUCAGGCUGCAUCGCAUGGUGUGGUUUGGAAAGGUUUUUUCUGGGAUUGGGUGGGCUCGCGGCCUAUCAGCUUGUUGGUGGGGUGAUGGCUUACCAAGGCUUUGACGGGUAGCCGGCCUGAGAGGGUGGUCGGUCGCACUGGGACUGAGAUACGGCCCAGACUAGUACGGGAGGCAGCAGUGGGGAAUAUUGCACAAUGGACGAAAGUUUGAUGCAGCGACGCCGCGUGGAGGGUGUAGGCCUUCGGGUUGUGAACUCCUUUUUCUCGCGAAAAAGGCACAGUUUUGGCUGUGUUGAUGGUAGUGGGGGAAGAAGCGCCGGCUAACUACGUG
Molecule: ribosomal RNA, 483 nt
Filed under: uncultured bacterium
Lineage: Bacteria
Description: partial 16S ribosomal RNA
Rfam family: Bacterial small subunit ribosomal RNA
Source: RNAcentral